GAUGAAGAACGUAGCGAAAUGCGAUAAGUAAUGUGAAUUGCAGAAUUCAGUGAAUCAUCGAAUCUUUGAACGCACAUUGCGCCCCUUGGUAUUCCGAGGGGCAUGCCUGUUCGAGCUUCAUUAUAACCCCUCAAGCUCAGCUUGGUGUUGGGGCCUGCUGCACUGGCAGCCCUUAAAAUCAGUGGCGGCGCCAUCUGGCUCUAAGCGUAGUAAUUCUUCUCGCUAUGGAGUCCUGGUGGAUGCUUGCCAUCAACCCCCAAUUUUUCUAUGGUUGACCUCGGAUCAGGUAGGGAUACCCGCUGAACUUAAGCAUAUCAAUAAGCGGAGGA
Molecule: unclassified non-coding RNA, 329 nt
Filed under: soil metagenome
Description: partial contains 5.8S ribosomal RNA, internal transcribed spacer 2, and large subunit ribosomal RNA
Rfam family: 5.8S ribosomal RNA (bases 1-120)
Source: RNAcentral